CAGUCGUGGGGCAGCAUGACUGUAGCAAUACAGUUGAUGGCGACCGGCAAACGGGUGCGGAACACGUACACAACCUUCCUUCGAGUGGGGAAUAGCCCGGGGAAACCCGGAUUAAUACCCCGUAACAUAAUGAAGUGGCAUCACUUUAUUAUUAUAGCUCCGGCGCUUGAAGAUGGGUGUGCGACUGAUUAGGCAGUUGGCGGGGUAACGGCCCACCAAACCUACGAUCAGUAACUGGUGUGAGAGCACGACCAGUCACACGGGCACUGAGACACGGGCCCGACUCCUACGGGAGGCAGCAGUAAGGAAUAUUGGUCAAUGGACGCAAGUCUGAACCAGCCAUGCCGCGUGGAGGAUGAAGGUCCUCUGGAUUGUAAACUUCUUUUAUCUGGGAAGAAACCCAUGAAUUCUUUUGUGGUUGACGGUACCAGAUGAAUAAGCACCGGCUAACUCCGUGCCAGCAGCCGCGGUAAUACGGAGGGUGCAAGCGUUAUCCGGAUUCACUGGGUUUAAAGGGUGCGUAGGUGGGCUGGUAAGUCAGUGGUGAAAUCUCCAGGCUUAACUUGGAAACUGCCAUUGAUACUAUCAGUCUUGAAUACCGUGGAGGUCAGCGGAAUAUGUCAUGUAGCGGUGAAAUGCUUAGAUAUGACAUAGAACACCAAUUGCGAAGGCAGCUGGCUACACGAAUAUUGACACUGAUGCACGAAAGCGUGGGGAUCAAACAGGAUUAGAUACCCUGGUAGUCCACGCCCUAAACGAUGGAUACUCGACAUACGCGAUAUACUGUGUGUGUCUGANC
This 799-nucleotide ribosomal RNA is filed under the name uncultured Sphingobacteriales bacterium. RNAcentral describes it as "bacterial SSU rRNA". It matches the Rfam family "Bacterial small subunit ribosomal RNA", at positions 59 to 852 of the family's 1533-position model. Lineage: Bacteria; Pseudomonadati; Bacteroidota; Sphingobacteriia; Sphingobacteriales. The record is from RNAcentral.